Non-coding RNA from Schistosoma haematobium, 45 nucleotides. The record is from Rfam. NCBI's taxonomy places the organism in Eukaryota, Metazoa, Platyhelminthes, Trematoda, Strigeidida, Schistosomatidae.
AUCCAGUUGACGAGUCCAAAAUAGGACGAAAGACGUGUCCUGGAU